AUUGAACGCUGGCGGCAGGCCUAACACAUGCAAGUCGAGCGGAUGAGAAGAGCUUGCUCUUCGAUUCAGCGGCGGACGGGUGAGUAAUGCCUAGGAAUCUGCCUGGUCGUGGGGGACAACGUUUCGAAAGGAACGCUAAUACCGCAUACGUCCUACGGGAGAAAGCAGGGGACCUUCGGGCCUUGCGCUAUCAGAUGAGCCUAGGUCGGAUUAGCGAGUUGGUGAGGUAAUGGCUCACCAAGGCGACGAUCCGUAACUGGUCUGAGAGGAUGAUCAGUCACACUGGAACUGAGACACGGUCCAGACUCCUACGGGAGGCAGCAGUGGGGAAUAUUGGACAAUGGGCGAAAGCCUGAUCCAGCCAUGCCGCGUGUGUGAAGAAGGUCUUCGGAAUGUAAAGCACUUUAAGUUGGGAGGAAGGGCAUUAACCUAAUACGUUAGUGUUUUGACGUUACCGACAGAAUAAGCACCGGCUAACUCUGUGCCAGCCGCCGCAGUAA
This 500-nucleotide ribosomal RNA is filed under the name uncultured bacterium. RNAcentral's name for it is "partial 16S ribosomal RNA". It matches the Rfam family "Bacterial small subunit ribosomal RNA", at positions 30 to 523 of the family's 1533-position model. The record is from RNAcentral.